This 364-nucleotide ribosomal RNA is filed under the name uncultured Thelephoraceae. Its description in RNAcentral is "eukaryotic LSU rRNA". The stretch from base 1 to 103 matches the Rfam family "5.8S ribosomal RNA", at positions 53 to 154 of the family's 154-position model. Lineage: Eukaryota; Fungi; Basidiomycota; Agaricomycetes; Thelephorales; Thelephoraceae. The record is from RNAcentral.
AUGCGAUAAGUAAUGUGAAUUGCAGAAUUCAGUGAAUCAUCGAAUCUUUGAACGCACCUUGCGCCCUUUGGCUAUUCCGAAGGGCAUGCCUGUUUGAGUAUCAUGAACACCUCAACUCUCGUGGUUUGCUACGAUGAGCUUGGACUUUGGGGGUUUUGCUGGCCUGUGGGUCGGCUCCUCUCAAAUGAAUCAGCUUCCCAGCGUUUGGUGGAGUCGCAGGUGUGAUAACUAUCUACGCUUGUCGUUUUUCACCAGAUAACCUUCGGUGGUGGAGGUUCGUUGGGGCUCAUAAACGUCUCCCCUCAGUGAAGACAGCUUUUGAACGUUUGAUCUCAAAUCAGGUAGGACUACCCGCUGAACUUAA